RNAcentral lists this ribosomal RNA (162 nucleotides) under Eleutherococcus trifoliatus f. spinifolia. RNAcentral describes it as "5.8S ribosomal RNA". It matches the Rfam family "5.8S ribosomal RNA". From Rfam's summary of the family: 5.8S ribosomal RNA (5.8S rRNA) is a component of the large subunit of the eukaryotic ribosome. It is transcribed by RNA polymerase I as part of the 45S precursor that also contains 18S and 28S rRNA. The record is from RNAcentral. Lineage: Eukaryota; Viridiplantae; Streptophyta; Magnoliopsida; Apiales; Araliaceae.
AACGACUCUCGGCAACGGAUAUCUCGGCUCUCGCAUCGACGAAGAACGUAGCGAAAUGCGAUACUUGGUGUGAAUUGCAGAAUCCCGUGAACCAUCGAGUCUUUGAACGCAAGUUGCGCCCGAAGCCAUUAGGCUGAGGGCACGUCUGCCUGGGCGUCACGC